Molecule: ribosomal RNA, 442 nt
Filed under: uncultured bacterium
Lineage: Bacteria
Description: bacterial SSU rRNA
Rfam family: Bacterial small subunit ribosomal RNA
Source: RNAcentral
AACGCGAAGAACCUUACCUACUCUUGACAUCCUGCGAAUCUGUUUGAAAGGACGGAGUGCCGAAAGGAGCGCAGAGACAGGUGCUGCAUGGCUGUCGUCAGCUCGUGUUGUGAGAUGUUGGGUUAAGUCCCGUAACGAGCGCAACCCUUGCCCUUAGUUGCCAGCGAGUAAAGUUGGGGACUCUAAGGGGACUGCCGGUGAUGAACCGGAGGAAGGCGGGGAUGACGUCAAGUCAUCAUGGCCUUUAUGAGUAGGGCUACACACGUGCUACAAUGGGGCGUACAGAGGGUAGCGAACCCGCGAGGGGGAGCCAAUCCCGAAAAGCGUCUCGUAGUCCGGAUUGGAGUCUGCAACUCGACUCCAUGAAGUCGGAAUCGCUAGUAAUCGCGAAUCAGCCAUGUCGCGGUGAAUACGUUCCCGGGCCUUGUACACACCGACGCAC